Molecule: long non-coding RNA, 4052 nt
Organism: Triticum aestivum (bread wheat)
Lineage: Eukaryota; Viridiplantae; Streptophyta; Magnoliopsida; Poales; Poaceae
Exons: 5
Source: RefSeq, a predicted model, not a curated record
CAAGGAAAAAAAGGACGAUGUGUUGCCGCACCAGACUCGGCCUCCUUCCUAUUCUUUCGUCAAUCUCCCUCGACUUGGCUUCGUACAUCGAGAUCGAGAGAGGCUCUUACCUGGGAGGCUGGGAGAGAGCAGUCAGGCGGCGGCGGUGGCUCGAAGCACAGUCAGGCGGUGGCGGCUAGCGCGACACCCGCAGCCACCUCAUACUCCCUCGAUCUUCAUCCUAUUAGCUUUCGCCACCGUCACGCCGGUCCAGGCCCUGCCUCUGCCUGAGGCCACGCUAGGGCGCCGCCACCCACCUCAUCCCCUUUGCACACCCAAUCUCUCUUUCAGAUUCAGAUCCAGGCUGCUCAUCGGUGUCGAUCCCCAGCCGAAGCAUGAACAUUGAUCCAGGCAGGCCUUCUCUCCGAAUUCAGCCACUGGGGCAUGGCUCCCCUGCGGUUUGAAUCUGGGCGCUCGUCAACAGAGCGGCCAGAGAGGCGAGCUCUGGCUUUGGAUGCAUGGAGGGUAGGGGCCAGAGCCACCACGGCAGCCACGAGAGCGACAUGGACCUGCCAUGCUCGUCAACGACUUCCUCGAGAGCGGCGAUGGAGGUGGAGACUCGCGCAGCAGCAGCGACGGCGAGCCCGACGGUCCCGACCUCACCCACGCAUUGCUGUUGUAGGCUUCGACCGUCUGCUAUGCUGGCUCUGCUUCAGAAUCUCUGAUCAGUACAGGUUGGAGGAACAUCUCUGCAAUCACAUGUAUAGCAGUCGCUUACCAGUAUAUAUUUUUGGUAGCAGCUACUUUCGAGUAAAUUGUUGGUAUAUAGUAAGUACAGUGCUGCUAGCCCGUUCUGCUCAGAAUUUACUCCGUAGAUAACAUGAACAAAAAUAUUGAUAUAUGUGGCAUGUUGAUUUUACUCGAUGACCACAGGGGAGAACAAAAAUAGAUGUACAAGCAAGCUGAAAACAAGAAGGAAAUUGAGUUGCUUUCCAUGGUUCACUCACCAUUGUUAUCAAUCCAUAAGACAGAGCUUCAGGCUUGGUUCAAAAUGACAUCCAUGCUUAGUUUCUUACCAUCUACUUAUUGCUUGGUUAUUUAUCUGUCUAUUUUAUUGUUAUACUAGCAGACAUUCUCACGAAUCUUGCCCAAUGUUUUGACAUUUUCAGUACCUUUUCAUUGGCUAUUUCUUUGAAGCUUGAAUUACAAAAAGGAUAAAGAAGAAAUAUUGUGUACCAUGGUAUGAUAUAAUAUACCAGUUCCAUGAUAUGUGGUAAAUUUCCAUGGAAAUUGCCUAGAGUUUCUCAUCUUCUGUAAUGCUGGCAGAGAGUGGGAGCACAAAAUUGUUUGGAGAUUUAUGAUGUCAGAUCUAAUAUAUAAAUCUUUAUAUAUUCAUCUUUUCUUAGUUAACCUGCUUUUCUGAACAAAUUGUCAUAAUACAUGUAGGAAAAAUAUAUGUGCAAUGAUAUGAAUUGUCCAAGCUCAGGCCACUGCUGGACAAGGUACUCACCUACUUUGAAGCAUGCAUCUGGCAAGGUGUUCAUUGGUGUGGAACUCUGGCAUCCGGCAAGGUGUUCAUUGGGGCAGGGAUCGAUGGAGACGCAGUUGUGCAUGACGAAGUCCCUAAAGUGGCCCCUAGAUACUGCUGAAUGACCGGGUCACAGGCGGUAUCCAUCCAAUCUCGUCGUUCCGCCGACUUAGCAGGAACACUAUCCGCUCGUGCUCCACCCUUCACCGGAACUCCGUCUGACCAUGCUUCACCUGAGGGAGAGGGAGAUCAGAGGACGGAUGGAAGGGAUGGCGACAACGUUAUAUUCAAAAGGGAAUAACGCUGGAAUACCUUACUAUUGCUACCUGUCAGAGUGCAUAAUUAUGAAGUAAAUUACUUGGCACUGCUUAGUUGCCAAACUUGACAGUUGCUAAGACCUUCUGUCGACAAGAUACACAAACAUACAAUUCCAUGGUACUAUGUAGAGUAUUCAAAGAGGUCAUCUUCAUGAAGCUAGCAGAGGAUAGACAUUAGGAAAAAUGAGAGAUGAGGUGUUUGGGCAUGAGUCGAUUGCAUUGUGGCAAUUGUCAUCGUAGUGUAUUUUCUGUCGCUAUUUACAGAACAACUACAGAGAGGACAUUGUUGCUAUUCUAAAGGUAAAUGAUGCACUUGACAUUGUAAUAUGAUUUGUACACCUGUUUCCAGAAAAAUAGCAAUUGAACAUACACAGGGUCAAGUGUAGUUGUUAAUUUUUUUCAAGUAGUACAAAUGCGGGCUUUUCUAUGUUUAUUCCUGAUUACAUCACACUGUAACUCAAUUCCUUGAAGCCAUGAUGUGUUCUCUGGUUCAUUGAAUGCACGAUUUGGAAUCUGAUAAAUUUUACUCGUAUGAUGUAAUUUAUGUCAAAUUUCCUAUGCAAAUAAUUUAGGAACCACAUUGCCCGUGUAUGUUAAGUUCUUCUGUCAGUUUUCUCACUUAGACAGCAAGACGAACGUGAUGCAAAACUGCCAUGGACUGCUGACAUAACUCAUGUAUUACUUCAUGAUGGUACACUUCCUUUUUGCCGUCUUUUCUGCCAUAAGCUCACUCUUUGAGAUGUUAGCCGGUAGGGAAAUAGAUCGAGAUCCUCUGGUUUUGCCUGGAGAUGUUAUGUUAUCCAUGGUGAUUCAGUUUCCAGUCCGUGUAGAUUAGUGUGACUAUGAGCCAUCGGGGACCUUCUGUGCAUGUUUAAUUAACAUACAAAAACUUCUGGAGUACUAUACACUUCAACGUCUGUAUAAAUAAUUUGACCUUAUAAAACAAACCAUUCAUCGGCUAGCUGAAUCAGAUGAUGAUCUAUGACAAUCAACCUAGCACAAAUAAAAAGUAAUUUCACUAAUUUUUCAAUUGCGCUCCACUGAACUUUGGUGUAAGUUCUUUUGUCUUAGGGUAUUUACAUUUUAAAUGACAGCCCUAAAAAAGUUUCUCAUUUAUUUAAUUCUUAUAAUUACAAAUAAUUCCAAAGAUCAACUUUACACAAUUGAACCGGUACUUAAUUGAGAAACAGGGAGUUGACAUGGAACAAUAAAUUUGUAAACAUUUUUUCUAUUCUAUCGAUUAUUUUGAUUUGAAAUAUUUGUUAUUUCAACAUAAACAUGUUUUGAAAAUUUAUUGGUGUGAGCCUGUCAACGGACACAACUACGUGACUUGAAAUAUCUGAAAGGGCAAGGGAGAGCAUGGAGAUAAGAACACAAUGCAUAGCUUGUGGUCAUAUUUUCCUCAUGUUGAUUAAGCCGCUUGAAGCAAUAACUCAUGUUCUUGCAUUUCCUCUAUACUAAUGAAGUAGAUAAUGAAGGUUGGGCUUCUUUUAUAUCAGCAAGACCUGCUCUUUUUUCUUACUGAAAGCGGCCUACAACACUCAAUGUACACGCUUGAGUGUACUUGCAUAUUGUAAUGACACAUCACACUCACUCACUAAUGUGGAUCAGGACCGUGACAUAGUUGGUUCAUUUUAAUCCAUAAUGCACAAGGUAACAUGUGCACUACCAUAGUUUUUUUCCUAUUGGAGUAAAUUAAACUUUGAUGAAGUUUUACAUUGCAAUACAAUUGGCAUUGAAUGGAGAAGAUAAUUUGUACCAGGUGCUGAAUUGAUGAAAUAUGAUUUGGUUAAUUCUACUUUCUGUUGAUUUUAAAAUUGCUCUGAACUGUUGGUGCUUAAAGACAUGAAGCAAGGUCCAGAGAUGCCGUGUAUGUUUCAACUGCUAUAUUUAACAUGUAUGCUUAAUAAAAUUUUAGCACAAAUUUAUUAUGUUUACUCAGUUGGCCUUCAUGCUAUGUUUUUUAGUGAGUUGAAAAGGGGCUUGCUAGGCGGCAUGCUGGAGUAUAUGAUGAUCAAGCUUAUGACCUUGGGAUUGAUCAUGUUCAUCAUGAAUAGCUGGACAAUCUGACCACAAUUGGCGAUGGUGGCGAAGAGGAGAAGUGGCAAUAGGAAUGGGUCACUAGGAGGAUCUGUGUCGCUAGGAGGCUUGUAUUUCUUCCGUUGCAACGCACGGGCAAUUUUCCUAUAAUAAUAAAGCAUGGAUUGACUUUGCCGGGUUCACCGUCA